AACUUUCAACAAAGGAUCUCUUGGCUCUUGCCUCGAUGAAGAACGCAGCGAAGCGCGAAAUGUAGUGUGAAUCGCAGAACAUUGUGAAUCAUCGAAUCUUUGAACGCACAUUGCGCCUCUCUUAACAGGGAGGCAUGCCUGUCUGAGUCUCAUUU
Molecule: ribosomal RNA, 155 nt
Filed under: uncultured fungus
Lineage: Eukaryota; Fungi
Description: 5.8S ribosomal RNA
Rfam family: 5.8S ribosomal RNA
About the family: 5.8S ribosomal RNA (5.8S rRNA) is a component of the large subunit of the eukaryotic ribosome. It is transcribed by RNA polymerase I as part of the 45S precursor that also contains 18S and 28S rRNA.
Source: RNAcentral